This 574-nucleotide long non-coding RNA is filed under the name Dromaius novaehollandiae (emu). Its description in RNAcentral is "lncRNA (ENSDNVG00000016976.1)". Lineage: Eukaryota; Metazoa; Chordata; Aves; Casuariiformes; Dromaiidae. The record is from RNAcentral.
UGGCAAGCACUCUUGAUGAAUACGAAUAAAUUCACAGGUGACCUCACCAUUUAUGAGCAACAUGGCCAUCUUUAAUUUGUUGUAAUAUCGUGAAUUUUCUCUUUCUCCUCUUGUGUUUGCCAGUAGUGUAGACAGAUGAAUAUAUUCAUGUCCUCUCUUCAGGCAAGUGGUGCUCAGAAAGGACACCGGAAUUGUUAUAUCCAGCUCUCUCUUCUAAGCUCUGUGCAACCAGACCCGCUAGUUGACUUCUGCCUUAUUUUCAUGAAAUUUUGGGGCAUCAUGUCUUCAGCUUGGAGGAGGAAAGAAGAAAGGAACUACCAAUGUCACCAUGAUUAUAAUCCUGYCUUCAUCACUUUUUUUUGGACAUCCUUGGAACAAGGACACACUGGGUCUGCUUCAGAGUUGCUGGAAUUAUUACAGCUGAUUUUGCCUCGGGCACGGGUCACUGGGGAGCUGAUACCUGGGGUUCCGUUGAUAUCCCUGUCAUUGGCAAGGUAAGGAGAGGUUGACUUGCAUUCACUAUGAGCAGCAGACUAGAAAUAAAUCAUUUUAAUAUGCUUUCUGAAGAUAAAAA